GAGUUUGAUCAUGGCUCAGAAUCAACGCUGGCGGCGUGCCUAACACAUGCAAGUCGAACGCGGUUACUUCGCGAGAGGUAACUGAGUGGCGAACGGGGUGAGUAACACGUGGGUGACCUACCUUCGAAUGGGGGAUAACGUCCCGAAAGGGACGCUAAUACCGCAUAACAUCCUGCCUUUGAACAGGUGGAGAUCAAAGCCGGGGAUCGCAAGACCUGGCGUUUGAAGAGGGGCCCGCGUCUGAUUAGCUAGUUGGUGAGGUAACGGCUCACCAAGGCGACGAUCAGUAUCCGGCCUGAGAGGGCGGACGGACACACUGGGACUGAGACACGGCCCAGACUCCUACGGGAGGCAGCAGUGGGGAAUUGUUCGCAAUGGGCGCAAGCCUGACGACGCAACGCCGCGUGGAGGAUGAAGGUCUUCGGAUUGUAAACUCCUGUUGCCCGGGACGAAAAGCUUCGACCUAACACGUCGAAGUCUGACGGUACCGGGUGAGGAAGCCCCGGCUAACUCUGUGCCAGCAGCCGCGGUAA
Molecule: ribosomal RNA, 533 nt
Filed under: uncultured bacterium
Lineage: Bacteria
Description: bacterial SSU rRNA
Rfam family: Bacterial small subunit ribosomal RNA
Source: RNAcentral